UCACGUUAAACAGCUGUUCCCAUACGAUCAUCUAAGUUAAGCAACGUCUAUCCUGAUCAGUACUUAGAUGGGUGACCACUUCGGAAAAUCAGGUGUU
Acanthosepion pharaonis is the source of this 97-nucleotide non-coding RNA. NCBI's taxonomy places the organism in Eukaryota, Metazoa, Mollusca, Cephalopoda, Sepiida, Sepiidae. The record is from the annotation of a GenBank genome assembly.